Long non-coding RNA from Peromyscus californicus insignis, 2864 nucleotides. RefSeq lists it as uncharacterized. The transcript has 3 exons. The record is from RefSeq and is a predicted model, not a curated record. NCBI's taxonomy places the organism in Eukaryota, Metazoa, Chordata, Mammalia, Rodentia, Cricetidae.
CAGAAAAGGAAGGUUAGCUGUGGAUCCGGGAAGUGGAGGUGCUGCCCGCCCCGCUGGAGGAAGCUAGGGCUUGUGUUUAGUGGUGCACAGAAGCUUGGAGUUGGGGUGACAGCUCAUGAUGUGGCAUUUUCUGAGUCACGAUACCAUCCACACUGAGAGUCACAUGCCCAAGCCAGAGCCAGAUGCAAGCCUAGCAAAGCCAAGGUCAGGCUGAGCUCAGAAAUGAGAGGGAAGAGGUUGCACGUAGGAGAGCAGCAGGGCUGGGAGGACUGAGAAGCUGUGGCAGCAAUGGAAACAGAUGUCGUGGUAGCAGUUGGCGAGGGGUGACGACAGUCGCUAACAGCUCAUCCCGAGGGGAGGGGACUCAAGGAAGGCCUAGGUGAUGGCACUGAUUGGGCUUUAGACACAACAGCGCUACAAACAAACCUGGCUUGUAAUCUGAGGAAAUUGGAAGGUGCAGGAACCACAGAUGCACCCUGGCAUGCCCAGCUGGGAUGAUGUCCAGGUGCAGGAUCACAGGUGCACCCUGACAUGCCCAGCUGGGAUGAUGUCCAGGUGCAGGAUCACAGGUGCACCCUGGCAUGCCCAGCUGGGAUGAUGUCCAGGUGCAGGAUCACAGGUGCACCCUAGCAUGCCCAGCUGGGAUGAUGUCCAGGUGCAGGAUCACAGGUGCACCCUGGCAUGCCCAGCUGGGAUCUACGUCCUUUAUGAAGGUGCUGUGAUGUGUGUUAUGCAUGGACUGAAUGUAGUAAUUACCAUGGUUGAUAACCAAAGAAGUAAAAUGUAUGUUCUCUUUUCAUAAGAAUGAAGCCAUGGUAAAUUAUUCACCCAUGUGUGAUAUAUUAUUAAAACCGCACAACAUCUGAAUUCAGAGGAAUGAGUUAUUUUCAUAAAUUGGAAUAAUCUGGAACGUAUCCAUUUCAUUGCUUUUCAAAGACAGAAGAAAUUCUACAGCUAUCGUGUUCUCUUGCUUUGUGUUUUGAUGGCUCGGGUUUCUGAGAAACAGCCAAGAGGAAGCAGGAGGAAAGGGUGGUUUCAGCACUCAGCUCCGCUCCAAGCCUUGGCGGAUUGGGAACUGUUGUUCCGAAGAGCUCAUUAGAGAAAAGGUGUGAAUACACCACACUUUAUAAAGCAGCACAGGAGAGAGGACCUGGGUUCAAAUCCUGCUUCCGGAACAGGCCACUUAGCUUCUGUGUGACUCAGUUUCCUCAUUCAUAAAACCACAAUACACGGAGAAAUUUGGUGAACUGCGACACUCGGUGUGCCGGAUACCCAGUAAGGACACUAACAGCCGCCGUGUUUUCUGGGAGGAAGUGAUUGGAGUCGGGAGGGAGGUAGACUUGGUUAUGCCGCCUCACAACAGUACCUGAAGAAUAAACUCAUUCUCUAAAUUUUGAGUUCAACAUUUUUUCUUCAUUGCAUCAACUGUUUGUAAAGAAUAUAUUUAUUUUCUUCACUGUGUUAACACGUCCACUUGUAAAACACAGGGCACUUACUGUUUCACUACAAGCUCUUUUCUACAUGCUUUCCUUUUUAGAACAAUUUUGAUGGAUUCCUUUCUCCUCUAAUUAACAUAUCACGUUUACAACGAGUGCACCACUUGCUGUGGAAAAUCAAGACUUUCAAUUUUCAGGUCGUCAGCCGCUGACAUCGCAGUCCGACUUUAAACUGUAUGAAAUUACAUAUGACAUUUAGAAUUGAAUAACAGUGCUGACUGCCUCUGUGUCUAUGGAGAAAAAAGAACAUUUCUUUUGACCUAGUGUUAUCUUUUCCCCUUUUCCGCAAAUAAAUCACACCCAUGAGCUGAGAGCUUCUGCUGUUCUUUACGAUUCAUUGACCAACCAUGAGAGAGCAAACCAAUCAAAUGCCAAGAGUCUGGCCACCGUCCGUGCUCCUCUCCAGGGGACUGCUGUCUCCCCAGAAUCCUAGGCUUCAGAGAGAGCUGCUUCCUUGGAGAUUCCUGAGCUCAACUCUUUCAAAAGCUGACCUCUAAGAGGUGAAGCAGCGUGUGAAGUCGUGAAGCUAGCUGGUGAUGGAAACAGGGUGUAGGGAGGGUCUGAGCACCCCUCUGUGUGUUUCUGACUGACAGACUCUCCGUGCGUCGGGUCCUGUGUCAACUCCUCGAUUUCUCAAAUGACUUUCUGUAUUAUCAGGUGUUCUGUUAGCCACAUCACGCAGGCUCAGUACAGCUUGGUGCUUGUUCUUGCAACAGAGUUUGGCUGGAACACAGACAAGCUCAGGCGGGUAUUGUCUUCUUGCUGUGAUGAAAAAGUUAAGUCCUUGCACCAGGGACCACAUGAAGGCAAAGCCUCCCCUCUUUCCCACUAGGCCUGUUCCAGAUCUCAGCUGUAGAUCAAGCCUGGUUGAAAGUCGUUCUUUGCUGUUUUUACUCCGUGUAUCGGAGUUUAUUGUCUGAACUUGACAGAAUAGAGUUUGGACUGACAACAAUGAGAAAGAAGAAAGAAAACAGGAAGGACCUGCAUCUGUUUAUUUAAUGUGGAUGGGAAGUGUUCACUGGGUUUUAUACAUGUCGUCUCACUGCGUGUCUAUGGGAUGGAUGCUCUGGGUCUUAGCUUGUACAUAUGAAAACAAGCUCAGAAAGACAAGCACUAAGCUGCUUACGUUUGCGUCACCAAUCCUUAGCACAAGGACUUAGAUCCAGCCGUCCUCAGUCUAAAAAUCUGUUCAGUCUACUAUAUUGUGUGCUUUGUCAAGAUUGUCUCCUACUUUAAAAACGAUGUGACCUAGCAUCCUCUAAAUUUAAAUAAAAAUUUAAUUAAAUUUCAUCAUUUAAUUAAAAAUAUUAAUUAAAAAUAUAUAUUUAGUAACAAGUCAUGUUUAAUAAAUAGCUAACAAUAGACAAA